GAACUAUUCUCUCGCCUGUUUCAGCAGUUUCCAAAGAAUCAGGGCUGUGGAAAUAAUCCAGUCCCAGCUUCUCAGCAGAAACUCUGCUCCAAACUGCACUUGUGAGAUCAGUUGUUUAGAAAAACAUAAUGAGCCCAAGUAACGAGGCUGCUGCUCCUGCCAGGGUGUAGCACGAAGGUAUUUGGGCAAGGGAGAGUGCAGCGAGCUGGGUACAGAGACCCUGGCUUCAGCGACUGUGCAGUCUCAGGCUGCCCAUGGUGUCGUGCACUGAUGUGGAGACCAAGGAAGAGGGACCUGAAUGCUUGUUGGACCUCCCUGGGGAAAAGAUGUGCCCUCUGCAGUGAUGCAGAAGUGUUCUGAAGCCGUGGGUGCUACUG
Molecule: long non-coding RNA, 377 nt
Filed under: Anas platyrhynchos platyrhynchos (common mallard)
Lineage: Eukaryota; Metazoa; Chordata; Aves; Anseriformes; Anatidae
Description: lncRNA (ENSAPLG00000018654.1)
Source: RNAcentral